AACUCUGAGUGGUGGAUCACUUGGCUCGUGCGUCGAUGAAGAAUGCAGCUAGCUGCGAAAACUAGUGUGAAUUGCAGGACACAUUGAUCAUCGACACUUCGAACACAUUUUGCAACCCCGGGUUACUCCGGGGGCUAUAUCUGUCUGAGGGUCG
This is a ribosomal RNA of Protopterus annectens (West African lungfish), 154 nucleotides long. RefSeq annotates it as 5.8S ribosomal RNA. The record is from RefSeq and is a predicted model, not a curated record. The transcript has a single exon. Lineage: Eukaryota; Metazoa; Chordata; Ceratodontiformes; Protopteridae.